UACUAGAGUAGCACUCGCAUAUCAAUAAGCGGAGGAAAAGAAACUAACAAGGAUUCCCCUAGUAACGGCGAGUGAAGCGGGAAGAGCUCAAAUUUGAAAUCUUAAAGGGUUUCCCUUUACGAAUUGUAGUUUAAAGAAGUGUUUUCUGUUGAGGUUUUGGUAAAAGUUCUUUGGAAUAGGACAUCAUAGAGGGUGAGAAUCCCGUAUUUGACCUUUACUUUCAACUUUGUGAUACACUUUCAAAGAGUCGGAUUGUUUGGGAAUGCAGUCCAAAAUGGGUGGUAAAUUUCAUCUAAAGCUAAAUAUUGGCGAGGAGACCGAUAGCGAACAAGUACCGUGAGGGAAAGAUGAAAAGAACUUUGAAAAGAGAGUUAAACAGUACGUGAAAUUGUCAAAAGGGAAGCGUUUGACACCAGUGUUGUUUUUCUAGAAAAUCAAUUAAAGAACUGUUUAUGCUAAGCUGUUUAGACUUUAUCAGCUAUCUGUUUAGUUUUGAGCUUUUCUUUAAUGCACUUUUCAGUUAACAAGUCAACAUCAAUUUCUUUUGCUGUAAAAAAGCUUGAGGAAGGUGGCUUGAGAUUCGUCUUAAGUGUUUAUAGCCUCUUGCCUAUGCAGUCGGAGAGAUUGAGGUCUGCAGCGUAGAUCCUUCGGGGCUAAAUGCAUUUGUGCUAAGUUAUAGCAUUUUAUAGACAACUUGUUGACUAUGAUUUGUCUUGUAGCUUACUCGCUUAUGUUAUUUUACCUACGCUUAGGAUGUUGAAGACUCUACAGAGAUA
Molecule: ribosomal RNA, 776 nt
Filed under: uncultured Neocallimastigales
Lineage: Eukaryota; Fungi; Neocallimastigomycota; Neocallimastigomycetes; Neocallimastigales
Description: partial large subunit ribosomal RNA
Rfam family: Eukaryotic large subunit ribosomal RNA
Source: RNAcentral